Molecule: ribosomal RNA, 274 nt
Filed under: uncultured bacterium
Lineage: Bacteria
Description: partial 16S ribosomal RNA
Rfam family: Bacterial small subunit ribosomal RNA
Source: RNAcentral
AUACGGAGGGUGCGAGCGUUACUCGGAGUCACUGGGCGGAAAGCGUCCGUAGGCGGUCGGGUAAGUCGGGUGUGAAAGCCCCGGGCUCAACCUGGGAAGUGCACCCGAUACUGCUCGACUCGAGUGCGGGAGAGGAUGGCGGAAUUCCCGGUGUAGCGGUGAAAUGCGUAGAGAUCGGGAGGAACACCAGUGGCGAAGGCGGCCAUCUGGCCCGCAACUGACGCUGAGGGACGAAAGCGUGGGGAGCAAACAGGAUUAGAUACCCUAGUAGUCC